This 479-nucleotide long non-coding RNA is filed under the name Homo sapiens (human). RNAcentral's name for it is "non-protein coding lnc-SEC23IP-2:1". Lineage: Eukaryota; Metazoa; Chordata; Mammalia; Primates; Hominidae. The record is from RNAcentral.
UGUUUGCUGCUGUGCUUCAUUUCUUCUGCACAUUGACAUUCAUUUCUUUUCAUUCUGAAGAACAUCUGCUGGCCAUUGGACUUUCAAAUUAAAAUCUUUAAAAAAUUUUUAGGAUUUAAAAAUAUUAGUGUUGGCCAGGUGUGGUGGCUCACGCCUGUAAUCCCAGCUGGUUUUGUGCCUUCAAGGAACCCCAAAUUCCCACCCAGCCAAUGGAAAUGGCAAGCAGUUUCGUUCUGUUGAUGUAAUGUAUCCUGCUUAUUGAUUUGCAUACGUUGAACCAUUCUUUCAUGCCUGGAAUAAGUCUCACUUGCUUAGUUGUAAGUUCUUUCCCAAGGCCAAUGUACAGAAUAGUGUUUCCUAGGUUUUCUUCUAGGAUUCUUACAGUUUGAAGUCUUACAUUAAAUCUUUAAUCCUGAGUUAAUUUUUAUAUACGGUGAAAGGUAGGUUUCCAGUUUCAUUCUUCUGCAUGUGGAUAGCCA